RNAcentral lists this non-coding RNA (30 nucleotides) under Mus musculus (house mouse). The record is from RNAcentral. Lineage: Eukaryota; Metazoa; Chordata; Mammalia; Rodentia; Muridae.
UNCAAUGCAGAUGCUAUCUUAGAAAGUGGC